RNAcentral lists this ribosomal RNA (1435 nucleotides) under uncultured organism. RNAcentral's name for it is "SSU rRNA". It matches the Rfam family "Bacterial small subunit ribosomal RNA". The record is from RNAcentral.
GGCGUGCCUAACACAUGCAAGUCGGGCGAAGCGAUUUAGCGGUAGUUUUCGGAUGGAAGUUAAAUUGACUGAGCGGCGGACGGGUGAGUAACGCGUGGGUAACCUGCCUCAUACAGGGGGAUAACAGUUAGAAAUGACUGCUAAUACCGCAUAAGCGCACAGCAUCGCAUGAUGCAGUGUGAAAAACUCCGGUGGUAUGAGAUGGACCCGCGUCUGAUUAGCUAGUUGGUGAGGUAAAGGCCCACCAAGGCGACGAUCAGUAGCCGACCUGAGAGGGUGAUCGGCCACAUUGGGACUGAGACACGGCCCAAACUCCUACGGGAGGCAGCAGUGGGGAAUAUUGCACAAUGGGGGAAACCCUGAUGCAGCAACGCCGCGUGAGUGAAGAAGUAUUUCGGUAUGUAAAGCUCUAUCAGCAGGGAAGAAAAUGACGGUACCUGACUAAGAAGCCCCGGCUAACUACGUGCCAGCAGCCGCGGUAAUACGUAGGGGGCAAGCGUUAUCCGGAUUUACUGGGUGUAAAGGGAGCGUAGACGGCGAAGCAAGUCUGAAGUGAAAGCCCGGGGCUUAACCCCGGGACUGCUUUGGAAACUGUUUUGCUAGAGUGCUGGAGAGGUAAGUGGAAUUCCUAGUGUAGCGGUGAAAUGCGUAGAUAUUAGGAGGAACACCAGUGGCGAAGGCGGCUUACUGGACAGUAACUGACGUUGAGGCUCGAAAGCGUGGGGAGCAAACAGGAUUAGAUACCCUGGUAGUCCACGCGGUAAACGAUGAAUGCUAGGUGUUGGGGAGCAAAGCUCUUCGGUGCCGUCGCAAACGCAUAAGCAUUCCACCUGGGGAGUACGUUCGCAAGAAUGAAACUCAAGGGAAUUGACGGGGACCCCGCACAAGCGGGUGGAGCAUGUGGUUUAAUUCGAAGCAACGCGAAGAACCUUACCAAGUCUUGACAUCCUUCUGACCGGCGCGUAACGGCGCCUUCUCUUCGGAGCAGGAGUGACAGGUGGUGCAUGGUUGUCGUCAGCUCGUGUCGUGAGAUGUUGGGUUAAGUCCCGCAACGAGCGCAACCCUUAUCCUUAGUAGCCAGCAGUAAGAUGGGCACUCUAGGGAGACUGCCAGGGAUAACCUGGAGGAAGGUGGGGAUGACGUCAAAUCAUCAUGCCCCUUAUGAUUUGGGCUACACACGUGCUACAAUGGCGUAAACAAAGGGAAGCGAAGCCGCGAGGUGAAGCAAAUCCCAAAAAUAACGUCCCAGUUCGGAUUGUAGGCUGCAACUCGCCUGCAUGAAGCUGGAAUCGCUAGUAAUCGCGAAUCAGAAUGUCGCGGUGAAUACGUUCCCGGGUCUUGUACACACCGCCCGUCACACCAUGGGAGUCGAUAACGCCCGAAGUCAGUGACCCAACCACAAGGAGGGAGCUGCCGAAGGCGGGAUUGAUAACUG